ACCCGCUCCUGCCCCUACACCCGCACCCGCUCCUGCACCCGCACCCGCACCGAGCCGCGUGCCGGUGCUUCAGAGAGGGGCUGGGCAGAGCCCAGAGUGGCGGAGCCCUGGCCUUGGGUGCCCGCCGCGGCCCUCCCUGUCCCCGGUGUGUUGCUCUAGCUCUUACUCCUCCCUGUACACGUGAAGGAGAAACGUUGGUCACGGUCCAAAAGCUCCAGAGGGGUCUCCCCCGGCCAGUUUAGAAUUCUCGUUGAGAUUAGAAGCAGGUCCAAGUCACCAAAGUGUUACAGAGAGCGCUGGCUAUGCCCACGUGAUGGACUUAACAGAGGUGAAACAGAAGGGAGCACCAGUGUCCUGCAUCUGCAAACAGUGCUGCAGCAGACUGACCAUGCACAGGCAUUUUCCUUCUGGAAACCAGAGGCAUCCCCUCCCAGUCCACAGGAAAACCCUUAGCCCCUUCCCCUCUGCCUGUCCAGCUACUUAAGGAACCGGUUGUCCUCCCAUCGCUCUGCGUGGGGCCUGCCUCCUCCUGCCUUGCCACACCCCAUUGUGCCUGCAUUCCUCCUAUAGAAAACAACCAAGCCGCGGUUCAAAAACAGAGUUACAAAGGCAGGGAGCCGUGCACUCACGUGGCUUUGGGUGGGGAGAGGAAGAAGUAAAUUGCAGUCUGCAAAUUAGUGCUCAGUGGAUUAAUAUUUCCUAAAAAUAUCCCUAAUUUGCAUCUCCUACAAGCAAAUGCUUUGUGGAAAAGCCAUCUUUAUGGGACUUCGGGAGCAGCGGACGGCCCCACUGUGCCGAGCACCCUGCGUCUCCUGCUGCUCCAGCUCAACGCCUUCCACGGAUAGAAGAAA
Galeopterus variegatus (Sunda flying lemur) is the source of this 851-nucleotide long non-coding RNA. RefSeq lists it as uncharacterized. NCBI's taxonomy places the organism in Eukaryota, Metazoa, Chordata, Mammalia, Dermoptera, Cynocephalidae. The transcript is spliced from 5 exons. The record is from RefSeq and is a predicted model, not a curated record.